AAAUAACAAUACGGGGCUUAAUGUCUUGUAAUUGGAAUGAUGGGAAUUUAAACCUCUUCCAGAGUAUCAAUUGGAGGGCAAGUCUGGUGCCAGCAGCCGCGGUAAUUCCAGCUCCAAUAGCGUAUAUUAAAAUUGUUGCAGUUAAAAAGCUCGUAGUUGAAUUUCUGCUGCAUUUCAUUUCUCUUUCUGAGUUUGUUUUUGCGGCUUAUUUCGGUUUGAUUUUUUCUUUCCGGAUGAUUACUUUGAGAAAAUUAGAGUGCUCAAAGCAGGCUUUUGCCUUGAAUAGUUUAGCAUGGAAUAAUAAAGUAGGACUUUGGUUCUAUUUUGUUGGUUUUAGGUACCAAAGUAAUGGUUAAUAGGAACAGUUGGGGGCAUUCGUAUUUA
RNAcentral lists this ribosomal RNA (384 nucleotides) under Theileria buffeli. RNAcentral describes it as "SSU rRNA". It matches the Rfam family "Eukaryotic small subunit ribosomal RNA", at positions 475 to 900 of the family's 1831-position model. The record is from RNAcentral. Lineage: Eukaryota; Apicomplexa; Aconoidasida; Piroplasmida; Theileriidae.